UCCUCGCCUUUUCUUUCUCUUCCUCACUCGCCACCUUCCUAUCAUUUCUGGAAGAAGCAUCGGAGGAGAAAAAUAACAAUGGCGGGAGCCGAGCAGCAGCUCCAUCCUUGAAGCCAUGAGGGACACGAAAUCUUCCCUGGUCUACUCUACGAAGCUCGACUCUAUAUCCAUGUUGCUGCUGCUGCUGCUGCUUAUCCCUUCCACCAUUAGAAGACACAAGACAAUC
This 226-nucleotide long non-coding RNA is filed under the name Selaginella moellendorffii. RNAcentral describes it as "long non-coding RNA (SMOE_LNC000520)". Lineage: Eukaryota; Viridiplantae; Streptophyta; Lycopodiopsida; Selaginellales; Selaginellaceae. The record is from RNAcentral.